RNAcentral lists this ribosomal RNA (441 nucleotides) under uncultured bacterium. RNAcentral describes it as "partial 16S ribosomal RNA". It matches the Rfam family "Bacterial small subunit ribosomal RNA", at positions 339 to 795 of the family's 1533-position model. The record is from RNAcentral.
CUACGGGAGACAGCAGUGAGGAAUAUUGCACAAUGGGGGGAACCCUGAUGCAGCAACGCCGCGUGGAGGAUGACGCAUUUCGGUGUGUAAACUCCUUUUAUAUGUCAAGAAAAUGACGGUAGCAUAUGAAUAAGCACCGGCUAACAUCCGUGCCAGCAGCCGCGGUGAAUACGGAGGGUGCAAGCGUUACUCGGAAUCACUGGGCGUAAAGGACGCGUAGGCGGGUUGGAAAGUCAGGUGUGAAAUCCUACAGCUUAACUGUAGAACUGCACUUGAAACUUCUAAUCUAGAGUAUGGGAGGGGGAGAUGGAAUUAGUGGUGUAGGGGUAAAAUCCGUAGAUAUCACUAGGAAUACCUAAAGCGAAGGCGAUCUCCUGGAACAUUACUGACGCUAAGGCGUGAAAGCGUGGGGAGCAAACAGGAUUAGAUACCCUAGUAGUC